UGGGGAAUAUUGCACAAUGGGGGAAACCCUGAUGCAGCGACGCCGCGUGAGCGAAGAAGUAUUUCGGUAUGUAAAGCUCUAUCAGCAGGGAAGAAAAUGACGGUACCUGACUAAGAAGCACCGGCUAAAUACGUGCCAGCAGCCGCGGUAAUACGUAUGGUGCAAGCGUUAUCCGGAUUUACUGGGUGUAAAGGGAGCGUAGACGGAUGGGCAAGUCUGAUGUGAAAACCCGGGGCUCAACCCCGGGACUGCAUUGGAAACUGUUCAUCUAGAGUGCUGGAGAGGUAAGUGGAAUUCCUAGUGUAGCGGUGAAAUGCGUAGAUAUUAGGAGGAACACCAGUGGCGAAGGCGGCUUACUGGACAGUAACUGACGUUGAGGCUCGAAAGCGUGGGGAGCAAACAGG
This 404-nucleotide ribosomal RNA is filed under the name uncultured bacterium. Its description in RNAcentral is "bacterial SSU rRNA". It matches the Rfam family "Bacterial small subunit ribosomal RNA", at positions 355 to 776 of the family's 1533-position model. The record is from RNAcentral. RNAcentral also lists the same sequence under 2 other names.